CCAUCCAACCACAGCUCCGCACGCACUCCGGGUACAGUUGCUCGGGGUAGCCCUUUGGCCUCGUGCACCCACACCGUCAGCCACAUCUCUUGCCGCUCCACGUUGUCCUACAUACAAGAGUGAGGGUCUUGGAAAACCGGAGGCGAUUGGACCGUGACUCCUUAGGGGGUGCAGAGAGGACCCGACGAAACAGAGAUCUGGGGGCUGGCUGGCUGUUCACCAUGGGCUCCUGAUGGCUCAGGGCCCUUCCCCAGCCUGCAAAGCGGCCCCAGCGGAACCCUCCAGCAGCCUUUUCCCCACUGCCUCCAGUGUGCCAGCGGUAGGAUGUCAGCGGAGAGGGCAGCGAGGGCUGCGUUUGGGAAUCUUCUUCACUCUGCAACGGUCAUCUUUAGCUACAUAGUGUGUUCAAGGCUAGCUUGGGCUACAAGAGGAUGACAUGAACUCCUGAUUUUUUUGCUUUCUACCCCUGAGCCCUGAAAUGAAAGUGCUGGAGAUGAAACCCAGGGCUCCCGGUAUACUGGACAAGUGCUGUCACUGAGCCACAGUUUCCGGUUAUGUUUUUCAAUGUAAUUUUUUUAAGGAAAUGGGGUCCAAUCUGCUCAUUCUGUGACCAACAGUCCCAAUGUGCCUUGAGCUAACACUUCUGAGAGUGGCCCUCUACCAGUGACCCAGGGAUUCCAGUGGAGAGAAUUACUGUUUGAUUACAGUUUGAUGCUGUCUUCCAGUAGCUGAGUUCUGCUUGCCUGCAGUGGAAACCGCCUUGACUGCUGCUCUGGCUGCUUUCCCCCCAGGUUUUGCCUUCUUACUCCCCAAUAGGGAAGUUCUAGGGUUGCCUCCAAAUCACCAUUUUGUACUGAAAUUAAUUUAUUUGUUUUUGUUUUCUCGAUUCUGUAGCACAGGUUAACCUCUAGCCUUGGUGGCAAACAAAACGCAAGGGUCCAUUUUCAGUACAAAAGUCCCUUAGAUGGGCUUAGGUUUCAGGUAAGCAAAAGGAAGGCAUUGGCUUCUUUGCCCUAACAGCUUGUGCCUUCUUCUUGUCUGGCCUUUUAGUUAACCUUCUUUCCAAACCAAGGUUAUCUUUACAGGAUGAGAGGGUACAGGUAGCAUCAUGACCAAGAGCAAACAUUGAAAAAAGGGGGAGAUGGAUGGAUAAUGGAACUCAGGCAACAUGCAGCAAAGCAGGGGAAAGGAAUUUUGAUUAGGACCAUUAAAAAAAAUAAAAAAGGACAGUUUUUUCCCAAUGGGGCGCCAUUGCCAGUUUUGUUGGCAUUUCACCUUACAAGGUCGUAAAAUAAACUGCCUCAAUUUUUGUCA
RNAcentral lists this long non-coding RNA (1314 nucleotides) under Mus musculus (house mouse). Its description in RNAcentral is "RIKEN cDNA A530088E08 gene". The record is from RNAcentral. Lineage: Eukaryota; Metazoa; Chordata; Mammalia; Rodentia; Muridae.